This 253-nucleotide ribosomal RNA is filed under the name uncultured bacterium. Its description in RNAcentral is "partial 16S ribosomal RNA". It matches the Rfam family "Bacterial small subunit ribosomal RNA", at positions 524 to 776 of the family's 1533-position model. The record is from RNAcentral.
UACGUAGGCAGCGAGCGUUGUUCGGAGUUACUGGGCGUAAAGGGUGUGUAGGCGGUUCUUUAAGUUUGGUGUGAAAUCUCCCGGCUCAACCGGGAGGGUGCGCCGAAUACUGAGGGACUAGAGUGCGGGAGAGGAAAGUGGAAUUCCUGGUGUAGCGGUGAAAUGCGUAGAUAUCAGGAGGAACACCGGUGGUGUAGACGGCUUUCUGGACCGUAACUGACGCUGAGACACGAAAGCGUGGGGAGCAAACGGG